This is a long non-coding RNA of Oncorhynchus keta (chum salmon), 1362 nucleotides long. RefSeq lists it as uncharacterized. The record is from RefSeq and is a predicted model, not a curated record. Lineage: Eukaryota; Metazoa; Chordata; Actinopteri; Salmoniformes; Salmonidae. The transcript is spliced from 4 exons.
AGGGACUUAGAGUUAGGCCAUUUAUCCCAAGAUAGUAGUUAGUAUAUUCAGAUAGCUAGGUGAGACAACCACAUAUCACAGUAGUUAGUAUAUUCAGAUAGCUAGGUGGGACAACCACAUAUCACAGUAGUUAGUAUAUUCAGAUAGCUAGGUGGGACAACCACAUAUCACAGUAGUUAGUAUAUUCAGAUAGCUAGGUGGGACAACCACAUAUCACAGUAGUUAGUAUAUUCAGAUAGCUAGGUGAGACAACCACAUAUCACAGUAGUUAGUAUAUUCAGAUAGCUAGGUGAGACAACCACAUAUCACAGUAGUUAGUAUAUUCAGAUAGCUAGGUGGGACAACCACAUAUCACAGUAGUUAGUAUAUUCAGAUAGCUGGGUGGGACAACCACAUAUCACAGUAGUUAGUAUAUUCAGAUAGCUAGGUGGGACAACCACAUAUCACAGUAGUUAGUAUAUUCAUCUUCAGAUAGCUAGGUGGGACAACCACAUAUCACAGUAGUUAGUAUAUUCAGAUAGCUAGGUGAGACAACCACAUAUCACAGUAGUUAGUAUAUUCAGAUAGCUAGGUGGGACAACCACAUAUCACAGUAGUUAGUAUAUUCAGAUAGCUAGGUGAGACAACCACAUAUCACAGUAGUUAGUAUAUUCAGAUAGCUAGGUGGGACAACCACAUAUCACAGUAGUUAGUAUAUUCAGAUAGCUGGGUGGGACAACCACAUAUCACAGUAGUUAGUAUAUUCAUCUUCAGAUAGCUAGGUGAGACAACCACAUAUCACAGUAGUUAGUAUAUUCAGAUAGCUAGGUGGGACAACCACAUAUCACAGUAGUUAGUAUAUUCAGAUAGCUAGGUGGGACAACCACAUAUCACAGUAGUUAGUAUAUUCAGAUAGCUAGGUGGGACAACCACAUAUCACAGUAGUUAGUAUAUUCAGAUAGCUGGGUGGGACAACCACAUAUCACAGUAGUUAGUAUAUUCAGAUAGCUGGGUGGGACAACCACAUAUCACAGUAGUUAGUAUAUUCAGAUAGCUAGGUGAGACAACCACAUAUCACAGUAGUUAGUAUAUUCAGAUAGCUAGGUGGGACAACCACAUAUCACAGUAGUUAGUAUAUUCAGAUAGCUAGGUGGGACAACCACAUAUCACAGUAGUUAGUAUAUUCAGAUAGCUAGGUGGGACAACCACAUAUCACAGUAGUUAGUAUAUUCAGAUAGCUGGGUGGGACAACCACAUAUCACAGUAGUUAGUAUAUUCAGAUAGCUAGGUGAGACAACCACAUAUCACAGUAGUUAGUAUAUUCAGAUAGCUGGGUGGGACAACCAUAUCACAGUAGUUAGUAUAUUCAGAUAGCUAGGUGGG